AUUAAAUUACAACGGUGGUAGUUUAGUGUGAGUUAGUUUGUAGAAUGGU
RNAcentral lists this non-coding RNA (49 nucleotides) under Trypanosoma lewisi. The record is from RNAcentral. Lineage: Eukaryota; Euglenozoa; Kinetoplastea; Trypanosomatida; Trypanosomatidae.